AUUGAACGCUGGCGGCAGGCCUAACACAUGCAAGUCGAACGGUAACAGGAAGAAGCUUGCUUCUUUGCUGACGAGUGGCGGACGGGUGAGUAAUGUCUGGGAAACUGCCUGAUGGAGGGGGAUAACUACUGGAAACGGUAGCUAAUACCGCAUAACGUCGCAAGACCAAAAAGGGGGACCUUCGGGCCUCUUGCCAUCGGAUGUGCCCAGAUGGGAUUAGCUAGUAGGUGGGGUAACGGCUCACCUAGGCGACGAUCCCUAGCUGGUCUGAGAGGAUGACCAGCCACACUGGAACUGAGACACGGUCCAGACUCCUACGGGAGGCAGCAGUGGGGAAUAUUGCACAAUGGGCGCAAGCCUGAUGCAGCCAUGCCGCGUGUAUGAAGAAGGCCUUCGGGUUGUAAAGUACUUUCAGCGGGGAGGAAGGGAGUAAAGUUAAUACCUUUGCUCAUUGACGUUACCUGCAGAAGAAGCACCGGCUAACUCCGUG
This 490-nucleotide ribosomal RNA is filed under the name uncultured bacterium. RNAcentral describes it as "partial 16S ribosomal RNA". It matches the Rfam family "Bacterial small subunit ribosomal RNA", at positions 30 to 507 of the family's 1533-position model. The record is from RNAcentral.